This 382-nucleotide ribosomal RNA is filed under the name uncultured marine Chaetocerotaceae. RNAcentral describes it as "SSU rRNA". It matches the Rfam family "Eukaryotic small subunit ribosomal RNA", at positions 587 to 972 of the family's 1831-position model. The record is from RNAcentral. Lineage: Eukaryota; Bacillariophyta; Thalassiosirophyceae; Chaetocerotales; Chaetocerotaceae.
AGCUUCAGUAGCGUAUAUUAAAGUUGUUGCAGUUAAAAAGCUCGUAGUCGCAUUUCUGGCGAGAGGAUCCGGUCCGACCUUUUGGUGGGUUCUUGGGUCUCUUUCGCCAUCCUUGAGUGGUCCGUUCUGGCAUUAGGUUGUCGGAGCGUCAGCCGCUCAUCGUUUACUGUGAGAAAAUUAGAGUGUUCAAAGCAGGCUUAUGCCGUUGAAUAUAUUAGCAUGGAAUAAUAAGAUAGGACCUCGGUACUAUUGUGUUGGUUUGCGCACCAAGGUAAUGAUGAACAGGGACAGUUGGGGGUAUUUGUAUUUCGUUGUCAGAGGUGAAAUUCUUAGAUUUACGAAAGACAAACUACUGCGAAAGCAUUUACCAAGGAUGUUGUCA